Molecule: long non-coding RNA, 108 nt
Organism: Sapajus apella (tufted capuchin)
Lineage: Eukaryota; Metazoa; Chordata; Mammalia; Primates; Cebidae
Exons: 3
Source: RefSeq, a predicted model, not a curated record
AUGAUCAUGUGUGCAAGAACAACAAAGAAAUGAUGUAAAACUGGCACUUAUAUUUAAGAGAGAAGCAAAGUGUAAAAGUUUUGAAAAUUUGCAGCCUGGCCAUGUGGU